CUGAACAAAACACAUUUUAUUAAUAAAUAAAGGAUUAAAAACACAGUUUAUGUAUUCCUUUUCUCCCCAGAAUUUAUUAUAUGCUUGUCAUAUGAUAAAUAAAAAGAAAGCUGAUAGGUUUUAAUUUAUAACAUCUUAAAUUACAACAGAAAUUUGUUGGAACUUGUACUUGAUUUUAUUUAAUAGUACAACGGGCAUGACUGUAUUUUUCACCAGAUCUUUUCUACAAAACCACAAUGUUCAAGAUUAUACAUUCAGUACUGGCAUUAUGAAGUAUGUAAUAUUUUUAAAUUACUAUUAAUUUAUAAUAAUUUCUCUUUCUGUUAUUAGUAAUUUAUAAAAUUUAGUCUUAUAUUUAUUUACUAUGUUACAACUGACUACUGUCAAAAUGAAUCUGCCUAUCAAACUGUACAAAGCAUAAUUUUAAAAACUACUAAAGAUAUAUUCAUUUUUGCUAGUGCAAAGGGCAUUAAUACUCACAUAAUCUCUGUGUUUUGUCUACAAGACAAUCAGGUGGCAGUAACUGAUAACAUUGCAUUACAACACAAUUCUGGCUUGCCUUCAAGAUUCAUCAGUUGUAUGACCUUCUUGUUAUUAUAUUGCUAGCUUCUGGUAACUCCAAACAGUUUUACUGAUGUCGACGCAGGUGAAUGACGGCAACAAAACACGAAACCAUUUAUUAAGCAGAGUUUGUGUUAUUUGAAAGGUGCAGUAAUAUAUUUCAAUGGUCAUCUAUCAUUUAACAACUUUUAUAAUGGGUUUCAAGUCAGGUGCUCUGUACAUAACCAAUAUAAUUUAUACAUGUAGACAUAGUGGAAACAACAUACUUAAUUGGCAAUUCUGGCCAAAGUGUAGUGUAUUCAAGAAAAAAAAAUUAAACUUAAUUUGUUAAACAGUGGCGCAAGACUGGAAGAACUAAGUUUGGACAAGUUUAUAUUUUAUACUCUGUUUAGUAAACAUCUAUCCAUAGGAUUGCGUUAACUUAAUGAAUCUAAUCUCUUUAUGCUUAACGUCUAACUUAACUGCCCUAGAAACCGCAAAGAUAAUAUUCUCGACCUAAAAUGUGAGCUUAUACUUGCUCUAUGAAACUUGAGCAAGUUAGAA
Orbicella faveolata is the source of this 1104-nucleotide long non-coding RNA. The record is from RefSeq and is a predicted model, not a curated record. NCBI's taxonomy places the organism in Eukaryota, Metazoa, Cnidaria, Anthozoa, Scleractinia, Merulinidae.